GACGAACGCUGGCGGCGUGCUUAACACAUGCAAGUCGAGCGGUAAGGCCCUUUCGGGGGUACACGAGCGGCGAACGGGUGAGUAACACGUGGGUGACCUGCCCUUAGCUCUGGGAUAAGCCUGGGAAACUGGGUCUAAUACCGGAUAUGACUCCAUGACGCAUGUUGUGGGGUGGAAAGCCUUGUGCGGCUAGGGAUGGGCCUGCGGCCUAUCAGCUUGUUGGUGGGGUGAUGGCCUACCAAGGCGACGACGGGUAGCCGGCCUGAGAGGGCGACCGGCCACACUGGGACUGAGACACGGCCCAGACUCCUACGGGAGGCAGCAGUGGGGAAUCUUGCGCAAUGGGCGAAAGCCUGACGCAGCGACGCCGCGUGGGGAUGACGGCCUGGU
This 390-nucleotide ribosomal RNA is filed under the name uncultured bacterium. RNAcentral describes it as "bacterial SSU rRNA". It matches the Rfam family "Bacterial small subunit ribosomal RNA", at positions 28 to 420 of the family's 1533-position model. The record is from RNAcentral.